Molecule: long non-coding RNA, 2727 nt
Filed under: Jatropha curcas
Lineage: Eukaryota; Viridiplantae; Streptophyta; Magnoliopsida; Malpighiales; Euphorbiaceae
Description: long non-coding RNA (JCUR_LNC002486)
Source: RNAcentral
UCUGAAGUACCUCAAAUCUGGACUUUUAGUUGCUUUUGAAUUUGGCUUCUUUGUCUUUGACUCAAUUCCAUUGGCUAUGCCAGAAAAUUUGGACUGAUUGAAUUGCCACAGCAAAUCAGGUUCUGAUGAAUCACUAGUGCCGGCAUCAAGAUCAUCCAUAUCAUCAGUACUACUAAUGUUGAACCGGUUGUUACCCCCAUAAAUAUUGUAGGAUUGUUCAGAGUAAAUUUUUGUAGGAUCUGAAAGAUACUUCUGGUAAAAGACAUCAGGCAAAUUACCAUUGUCUGCUUCCCAACUUCCUAAUGGAUUCUCAACUCUGUUUAUAGCAUCUUGCUUGUUCACCAUGACUUUAUCGACCCAUUCACCUGAUCCCACUUCCUUCUCAUCUUCCCUAUAAUUUUUGCUAGGACUAACAACUGGAGGCCAUGGAGGUGAAUUUGCUAACAGCUCAUCGAGAUCAAAACUUUGCCUUUUUUGCCUCAAUGUAGCGUUUGUAUGAACCUGUAUAUGCAGCACAUCAGUGUUUAAAAAAACCUAAGUACUUACUGACUAGGAAGGUUUUUCCCCAUCCAUGCCAACUCUCAACAAUCUUUUUCUCAUAAUAUAGUUUUAUUAUCUAUACAUAGCAUUAUCUAUAAUGUGAAGUACAAAAUGCUAAUAUUUUGCUCAAUUCACACCCAUGAUGCCUAGACAUCUACAAUGUGAAAUACAAAAGUACCAUAAUAUGAAGUAACCCUCAAAUAUUUCGAUACGAUUGAUAGAUAUGCAAAAUGAAAUGAGGUGAAGUCUGCCUCAACCAGAUUGAAGAUGGUCAUAAUUUCAGUUAGCUACUUUGAAUGCGAUGUUUUUCUACAAUAGUGUAACUUUCAUAUUGCAAAAAUACAUGAUUAUGUACUUAUAAUUAUACAAGUGUCAAUCAGCAAUCUUUAAGAAAAAUUAUGACUAAUGAUGAUAGGAUAGCAAGAUUCACCUCUAUGUUACCUACAUCACCCAUAGGUUGCCGGAAGCCAUUGCCAUCAUUCACAUCCCCAAUCCGCAGGCUAGAAUUCAACGGUGAUGACUCAUUUUCUUUUCUUCUAUACCUUUCGGGGUUGCCAGAUGCAGAAUGUUGAAAGUGUUCUGGUUCUGCCUCUUUCCUUGCUAAUGCUGCCUUAAGGCUAGCAAUCUAGGAAGGGGGAAAGGAAUCAAAUGUUUAAUACAGUGUACCCUGAAGUUAAAGUAUGAUUAAGACAGCUAUGAUGGAAAAUGUAAAGGAGACAAAGGAAAUGACUAACUUCUUCUUUGAGCUCUUUGAUAUCUGCUGCACUAUCUUUGUUCACUCGAGCUGCUCCUAGUUCAACAGUGGCUACACGUUGUGCAAAAUUAAGUGUACUUAUUGUUUCUCCAAUUGCUUCAGGCUCCGGGCUUAUGUGGACAAACAUUAAUGUCUUUGCCUGUCCUCCUGAAACAAGAAUCACAAAUCACAAUCAUAAUCAUUUUUAUUGGAAAAAAAGGGGAAAACAAAACAAAUACUGAAAUUUGAACAAUGUGUUACUUUGACCUUACCAAGUGAGUCUUGGAGCAGUUGUGUAACUAAAAAUUCCUACUUUCUAUUUGCAGUUCUGCGUUUCAUAUCAACAGGGGCUGGCUGCCUUCCAUUCCGGUGCAAAGGAGCAUUAACUCCAUUUUUUCGUGAUGGCGAAGGGCCUAGCAUAGGAUUCAAGUUCUUGCUGCAAAACAAAUGUUAACAACUCUGUUAAACAUUAGAAUUUAACAUGUAAGUGUAGACCAAAACAAAGAGCACAUCUGAAGUACCUCAAAUCUGGACUUUUAGUUGCUUUUGAAUUUGGCUUCUUUGUCUUUGACUCAAUUCCAUUGGCUAUGCCAGAAAAUUUGGACUGAUUGAAUUGCCACAGCAAAUCAGGUUCUGAUGAAUCACUAGUGCCGGCAUCAAGAUCAUCCAUAUCAUCAGUACUACUAAUGUUGAACCGGUUGUUACCCCCAUAAAUAUUGUAGGAUUGUUCAGAGUAAAUUUUUGUAGGAUCUGAAAGAUACUUCUGGUAAAAGACAUCAGGCAAAUUACCAUUGUCUGCUUCCCAACUUCCUAAUGGAUUCUCAACUCUGUUUAUAGCAUCUUGCUUGUUCACCAUGACUUUAUCGACCCAUUCACCUGAUCCCACUUCCUUCUCAUCUUCCCUAUAAUUUUUGCUAGGACUAACAACUGGAGGCCAUGGAGGUGAAUUUGCUAACAGCUCAUCGAGAUCAAAACUUUGCCUUUUUUGCCUCAAUGUAGCGUUUGUAUGAACCUGUAUAUGCAGCACAUCAGUGUUUAAAAAAACCUAAGUACUUACUGACUAGGAAGGUUUUUCCCCAUCCAUGCCAACUCUCAACAAUCUUUUUCUCAUAAUAUAGUUUUAUUAUCUAUACAUAGCAUUAUCUAUAAUGUGAAGUACAAAAUGCUAAUAUUUUGCUCAAUUCACACCCAUGAUGCCUAGACAUCUACAAUGUGAAAUACAAAAGUACCAUAAUAUGAAGUAACCCUCAAAUAUUUCGAUACGAUUGAUAGAUAUGCAAAAUGAAAUGAGGUGAAGUCUGCCUCAACCAGAUUGAAGAUGGUCAUAAUUUCAGUUAGCUACUUUGAAUGCGAUGUUUUUCUACAAUAGUGUAACUUUCAUAUUGCAAAAAUACAUGAUUAUGUACUUAUAAUUAUACAAGUGUCAAUCAGCAAUCUUUAAGAAAAAUUAUGAC